Cygnus olor (mute swan) is the source of this 1105-nucleotide long non-coding RNA. RefSeq lists it as uncharacterized. The record is from RefSeq and is a predicted model, not a curated record. Lineage: Eukaryota; Metazoa; Chordata; Aves; Anseriformes; Anatidae. The transcript has 3 exons.
GACUCACUGCAGGGUGCUAUCAGUAUCACCAUUACUUUAUUUAAUGAGUGCCCUGUCUAUUUGCACCCCCCUUGACAGCUUGUGUCCAUAUCAUUCAUUCAUUGUCAGCCUACCAUCAGCAUAGCGGGAAAGGCAUCUCUGGCUGCUGCCUCAUGACAGCCUGGUGCCAUGGGUAACAUCUGUUCUGCAUUGUCCCAUCACUGUUGUGUCUGUUCUCAUUGCAGCACCAGCGACUGCAAAACUACUGCAGCUGAUGCUGUCACAGUAUUUCUCCCACAGAAAGUGAUGUUUCUUUUGAUCUUGAGUAAAGACAACCAUUUGGCACAGGGGAGGAAGAAAAAGAGAUACUGAUUCACAUAGAUCCUCUCUGUGGAAAAUGUCAAGGAAGUUCUGGUGCAAGGCAAAUGGAGAGGCAGUCUCUUGCCCGGGAGUGCAAUAAAGCAGAGCCUGCAGCUUCCACAAGGCAGGACUUGAAUGCUUCUGAAGAAAGUCUCCUGUUUGUGGUCAGCAGUUCACCAUCAUGCUGCCUGCUUCCACAUGUAUGGGGUGGAUGCUAUGGAGCAUGUGGAGAAGACUGUGGUGGAGCUGGCUGCCCCCCUGAUGCCCAUGGAAGACCAUGAUGGAGUGGAUACCCACAAUGCAACAACCUGUGGAGGAGCCCUGAAGGAAGCUGCAGCUUGUGGAGAGCCCACACACGAGUGGGUUCCUGGUGGGAGCUGUGGCUGUGUGGAGAGGAGCCCAUGUAGGAGCAGACUUCCUCAUGGGAAUUGUGGCCUGUGGGGGACCCAUGCUGGGGCAGUCUGUUUCUGAAGAACUGCACCCAUGGAAAGGACUCACGCGAGAGCAGUUUUUGAACUGUGGCUUAUGGGAGGGCUCCCACACUGGAGCACGGCAUGAGUGUGAGGAAGGAGCCAGACAUUAUGAACUGACAGCACCCACCCAUUUUCCAUCCACCUGCACCACUUGGGGCUGGAGAGGAGGUAGAAGAAUCAAGAGUGAAGUUGGGCCUGGUAAGAAGGGAAUUGAAGGUGUGUGCGUAUGUUUAAUAAAUUGAUGGUACAUUAAAUUAAUUUUCCCAAGUUGAGUCUGUUUUGUCCAUGAUGGU